This 89-nucleotide small RNA is filed under the name Arabidopsis thaliana (thale cress). RNAcentral describes it as "ATSL238340". The record is from RNAcentral. Lineage: Eukaryota; Viridiplantae; Streptophyta; Magnoliopsida; Brassicales; Brassicaceae.
GCCUGACGAGUCACAAAGCUUCACAAUGCAGGAGAUUACCAAAAUGCGAGGACUCAAGAACUACGAAAGCGGCAAGGAAGAGAGUCAAU